This 508-nucleotide ribosomal RNA is filed under the name uncultured bacterium. RNAcentral's name for it is "bacterial SSU rRNA". It matches the Rfam family "Bacterial small subunit ribosomal RNA", at positions 17 to 518 of the family's 1533-position model. The record is from RNAcentral.
UUAUGGCUCAGGAUGAACGCUAGCGACAGGCUUAACACAUGCAAGUCGAGGGGCAGCAUAAAAGUAGCAAUACUUGGUGGCGACCGGCGCACGGGUGAGUAACGCGUAUGCAACCUACCUAUCAGAGGGGAAUAACCCGGCGAAAGUCGGACUAAUGCCGCAUAAAACAGGGGCACCGCAUGGUGAUAUUUGUUAAAGAAAUUCGCUGAUAGAUGGGCAUGCGUUCCAUUAGGUAGUUGGUGAGGUAACGGCUCACCAAGCCGACGAUGGAUAGGGGAACUGAGAGGUUGGUCCCCCACACUGGUACUGAGACACGGACCAGACUCCUACGGGAGGCAGCAGUGAGGAAUAUUGGUCAAUGGGCGGGAGCCUGAACCAGCCAAGUCGCGUGAAGGAAGAAGGAUCUAUGGUUCGUAAACUUCUUUUGCAGGGGAAUAAAGUGCAGGACGUGUCCUGUUUUGUAUGUACCCUGAGAAUAAGGAUCGGCUAACUCCGUGCCAGCCGCUGC